GCAAGGCUCUCAUUCAAAAAGGAAGGAGAGAUAAAGAGCUUCCAAGACAGGCCGCAACUAAAAAGAAUAUGUGACCUCCAAACCCGCUCUGCAAGAAAUUUUAAGGGGGCCUCUUAAAAUUCCCCUUUAGAAAGAAGUUCAGUGGAAACUCCACAAAAAACAAGACUGAAUAGUAUCAUGAUGACACUAAAACUCAUAUCUCUCAUAGUAACUCUGAAUGUGAACGGGCUUAAUGACCCCAUCAAAAGGCGCAGGGUUUCCGACUGGAUAAAAAAGCAGGACCCAUCUAUUUGCUGUCUACAAGACUCAUUUUAGACAGAAGGACACCUACAGCCUGAAAAUAAAGGUUGGAGAACCAUUUACCAUUCGAAAGGUCUCAAAAGAAAGCAGAGGUAGCAUCCUUAUAUCAGAUAAACUAAAAUUUACCCCAAAGACUGUAGUGAGAGAUGAAGAGGGACACUAUAAUCAUACUUAAAGGAUCUAUUCAACAAGAGGACUUAACAAUCCUCAAUAUAUAUGCUCCGAAUGUGGGAGCUGCCAAAUAUAUAAAUCAAUUAUUAACCAAAGUGAAGGAAUACUUAGAUAAUUAUACAUUCUUAACUUGGUGACUUCAAUCUAGCUCUUUCUAUACUCGAUAGGUCUUCUAAGCAAAACAUCUCCAAAAAAACGAGAGCUUUAAAUAUACACUGGACCAGAUGGAUUUCACAGAUAUCUACAGAACUUUACAUCCAAACUCAACCGAAUACACAUUCUUCUCAAGCGCACAUGAACUUUCUCCAGAAUAGACCACAUAUUGGGUCACAAUCGGGUCUGAACCGAUACCAAAAGAUUGGGAUUGUCCCCUGCAUAUUCCGGACCAUAAUGCCUUGAAAUUAGAACUAAAUCACAAACAAGAGUUUGGAAGGACCUCAAACACAUAGAGGUUAAGGACCAUCCUGCUAAAAGAUAAAAGGGUCAACCAGGAAAUUAAGGAAGAAUUAAAAAAGUUCAUGGAAACUAUAUGAGAUGAAGAUACAAACCGUUUCAAAAUCUUUGGGAUGCAGCAAAAGCAGUCCUAAGGGGAAUACAUCGCAAUACAAGCAUCCAUUCAAAAACUGGAAAGAACUCAAAUACAAAAGCUAACCUUACACAUAAAGGAGCUAGAGAAAAAACAGCAAAUAGAUCCUCACACCCAAGAGAAGAAUGAGUAUAUAAAGAUUCGGGCAGAACUCAAUGAAAUCGAGACCAAGAAGAACUGUGGAACAGAUCAACAGAACCAGGGUUUGUUCUUUGAAAGAAUUAAUAAGAUAGAUAAACCAUUAGCCAGCCUUAUUAAAAAAGAAGAGAGAGAAAGACCUCAAAUUAAUAAUCAUGAAUGAGAAAGGAGAGAUCACUACCAACACAAGGAAAUACAAAACGAUUUUAAAAACAUAUUAUGAACAGCUAUACGCCAAUAAUUAGGCAAUCUAGAAGAAAAAUGGACGCCUCCUGGGAAAGCCACAAAACUACCAAAACUGGAACAGGAAAGAAUAGAAAACCUGAACAGGCCAAUAACCAGGGAGGAAAUUGAAGCAGUCAUCAAAAACCUCCCAAGACACAAGAGUCCAGGGCCAGAUGGCUUCCCAGGAGAAUUUUAUCAAACGUUUAAAGAAGAAAUCUACCUAUUCUCCUAAAGCUGUUUGGAAAGAUAGAAAGAGAUGGAGUACUUCCAAAUUCGUUCUAUGAAGCCAGCAUCACCUUAAUUCCAAAGCCAGACAAAGACCCCGCCACAAAAGGAGAAUUACAGACCAAUAUCCCUGAUGAACAGGAUGCAAAAAUUCUCACAAGAUACUGGCCAAUAGGAUCCAACAGUACAUUAAGAAAAUUAUUCACCAUGAACAAGUGUAUUUCCCUGGGACACCAAGGCUGGUUCAACACCCAGUAAAAACAAUCAAUGUGAUUCAUCUAUCAGCAAGAGAGAAAAACCAGACCAAUAUGAUCCUCUCAUUGGUGCAGAGAGAAAGCAUUUGACAAAAUACAGCAUCAUUUCUGAAUUAAAACUCUUCAGAGUGUAGGGAUGAGGGAACAUUCCUCGACAUCUUAAAUGCCAUCUAUGAAAAGCCCACAGCAAAUAUCAUUCUCAAUGGGGAAGCACUGGGGCCUUUCCCCUAAGAUCAGGAACAAGACAGGGAUGUCCACUCUCACCACUGCUAUUCAACAUAGUACUGGAAGUCCUAGCCUCAGCAAUCAGACAACAAAAAAAACAUAAAGGCAUUCAAAUUGGCAAAGAAGAAGUCAAAACUCUCUCUCUUUGCCGAUGACAUGAUACUCUACAUAGAACAACCCAAAAGUCUCCACCCCAAGUUGCUAGAACCUCAUCAGCAAUUCGGUAGCGUGGCAGGAUACAAAAUCAAUGCCCAGAGUCAGUGGC
This 2389-nucleotide long non-coding RNA is filed under the name Canis lupus familiaris (dog). RNAcentral's name for it is "lncRNA (ENSCAFG00000050805.1)". The record is from RNAcentral. Lineage: Eukaryota; Metazoa; Chordata; Mammalia; Carnivora; Canidae.